UCCGUAGGGUGCGAUCGUUAAUCGGAAUUACUGGGCGUAAAGCGUGCGCAGGCGGAUUGUUAAGCAAGACGUGAAAUCCCCGGGCUUAACCUGGGAAUGGCGUUUUGAACUGGCAGUCUAGAGUGCGUCAGAGGGGGGUGGAAUUCCACGUGUAGCAGUGAAAUGCGUAGAGAUGUGGAGGAACACCGAUGGCGAAGGCAGCCCCCUGGGAUGACACUGACGCUCAUGUACGAAAGCGUGGGUAGAAAACAGG
Molecule: ribosomal RNA, 253 nt
Filed under: uncultured bacterium
Lineage: Bacteria
Description: partial 16S ribosomal RNA
Rfam family: Bacterial small subunit ribosomal RNA
Source: RNAcentral